GCCACAACGAGGCGCUGAGCAGCAGCAACGGCACCUAAACCUGCCUUGCGACGCUCUCACGCAAGGAAAGCGCUGGCACGCGCCGAAGGCGAUCGCAGAGUGCGCAGGACGGAGGCAUCGCCGAGCCAUCACCGGCUCACCUCACAGACAAGGCCAAGGCCACAUACAGGCGCGCGUUGAACACCCCAACACAUCCCACGAGAGAACUCUCUUUCCAUUUACAGCACACACCAGGCCAACACCACCCGACGACAGGGCGGGCGCGCUCCUAAACGCUUCCUCUCGUUGCUCUUGGUCCUGUGCUCACUCCUGCGUUUUCCCUUGAAAAGUCGCGGCCCCACUGGGCGACGGAAGGGGCGAGGAGGGCAGGGGCUCCCCCCGUUUAUACAGCAGCUGCAGUAAGCUUUUUCCUUUUCUUUUUUCGAUCGAUUACACUCAUCCGCCGCCAGCAGCCUUCCUGAGCUGCCCUUCUGUGUCUGUGUGCCUUUCUCGCCGAGGGCGCACACCUACACACACCAAAAUACGUUUUUCUUACAACGUCAACAAAAUUCUUACAUCCGUAACGGGCGCUACGGACGCCAAGCGCCAACAUGGACGCAGAGUUGUUUCCCAAGAACCCCGUCCUCCGGUUCGAUGCCGCUAUCAGUGCUGCGUACUCAAGACUGCUCGUUGACGAACUCAAGGAGCUUCAGCUCAUCCUGCGCGACUACACAAAACUACGUCUCCUGCAAGAUCGUGAAAAGCGUAUUAGAGCAGCACAGAUCACAGCAGCAUCACGGCUUUACACCAGUGGCACCGACUGUGAUCAGCGGCAGUUAUACACCCGCGAAAGACCAGGAUGUCCCGACCAUCAUGACUCACGCGUAGCCAAGGAGCUAUUCGUUGACUCGAGCACACCCUCCAAAGACGUCACACCUAAGAUCGAGGUCUCGCCCACCAGCCCCAACUCGAACGUUGGGGAAGGACCGCCGCUCCCCCGAAAAUUCACACCUGCCUCACACACCUCAGAGAGGCUCUGCCACUCAGGCAGUGACUUUCCUUCACAGCCCACAACAUGUGAGGAAUGGAAACACAAGCCCUUCUCUAAACCAUACGAGCGUCUGGGCUCUACACACGCACAUCCACAAGAAGCUCCCCACCAAGCCGAGCCCUUCACCUCCGCUGCCUUCACACGUACCUCGAAACUCAAUUCUGACACUUUCGCGCCACCGAAACCCCGCUUCUCCGGCGGCGUUGCUGCCGAGGCGGCGGGCGCGCUGGCGCAGCUGGCGGAGGACCGCGCCGCGGACAUGGCGCAGGCCGUGUCGAGCGCCGAGGGAGGCAGCCGCGCCGCCCUUGAGGCAACCGAGGCCGCCGAGCGCGCCGAGCAGGAGCGCGCUUGCGUUGCGUCGGAGGAGUGCGCUGCGCGUGCCGGCGUUGCUGCCGAGGCGGCGGGCGCGCUGGCGCAGCUGGCGGAGGACCGCGCCGCGGACAUGGCGCAGGCCGUGUCGAGCGCCGAGGGAGGCAGCCGCGCCGCCCUUGAGGCAACCGAGGCCGCCGAGCGCGCCGAGCAGGAGCGCGCUUGCGUUGCGUCGGAGGAGUGCGCUGCGCGCGCCGGCGUUGCUGCCGAGGCGGCGGGCGCGCUGGCGCAGCUGGCGGAGGACCGCGCCGCGGACAUGGCGCAGGCCGUGUCGAGCGCCGAGGGAGGCAGCCGCGCCGCCCUUGAGGCAACCGAGGCCGCCGAGCGCGCCGAGCAGGGGCGCGCUUGCGUUGCGUCGGAGGAGUGCGCUGCGCGCGCCGGCGUUGCUGCCGAGGCGGCGGGCGCGCUGGCGCAGCUGGCGGAGGACCGCGCCGCGGACAUGGCGCAGGCCGUGUCGAGCGCCGAGGGAGGCAGCCGCGCCGCCCUUGAGGCAACCGAGGCCGCCGAGCGCGCCGAGCAGGAGCGCGCUUGCGUUGCGUCGGAGGAGUGCGCUGCGCGCGCCGGCGUUGCUGCCGAGGCGGCGGGCGCGCUGGCGCAGCUGGCGGAGGACCGCGCCGCGGACAUGGCGCAGGCCGUGUCGAGCGCCGAGGGAGGCAGCCGCGCCGCCCUUGAGGCAACCGAGGCCGCCGAGCGCGCCGAGCAGGAGCGCGCUUGCGUUGCGUCGGAGGAGUGCGCUGCGCGUGCCGGCGUUGCUGCCGAGGCGGCGGGCGCGCUGGCGCAGCUGGCGGAGGACCGCGCCGCGGACAUGGCGCAGGCCGUGUCGAGCGCCGAGGGAGGCAGCCGCGCCGCCCUUGAGGCAACCGAGGCCGCCGAGCGCGCCGAGCAGGAGCGCGCUUGCGUUGCGUCGGAGGAGUGCGCUGCGCGCGCCGGCGUUGCUGCCGAGGCGGCGGGCGCGCUGGCGCAGCUGGCGGAGGACCGCGCCGCGGACAUGGCGCAGGCCGUGUCGAGCGCCGAGGGAGGCAGCCGCGCCGCCCUUGAGGCAACCGAGGCCGCCGAGCGCGCCGAGCAGGAGCGCGCUUGCGUUGCGUCGGAGGAGUGCGCUGCGCGCGCCGGCGUUGCUGCCGAGGCGGCGGGCGCGCUGGCGCAGCUGGCGGAGGACCGCGCCGCGGACAUGGCGCAGGCCGUGUCGAGCGCCGAGGGAGGCAGCCGCGCCGCCCUUGAGGCAACCGAGGCCGCCGAGCGCGCCGAGCAGGAGCGCGCUUGCGUUGCGUCGGAGGAGUGCGCUGCGCGCGCCGGCGUUGCUGCCGAGGCGGCGGGCGCGCUGGCGCAGCUGGCGGAGGACCGCGCCGCGGACAUGGCGCAGGCCGUGUCGAGCGCCGAGGGAGGCAGCCGCGCCGCCCUUGAGGCAACCGAGGCCGCCGAGCGCGCCGAGCAGGGGCGCGCUUGCGUUGCGUCGGAGGAGUGCGCUGCGCGCGCCGGCGUUGCUGCCGAGGCGGCGGGCGCGCUGGCGCAGCUGGCGGAGGACCGCGCCGCGGACAUGGCGCAGGCCGUGUCGAGCGCCGAGGGAGGCAGCCGCGCCGCCCUUGAGGCAACCGAGGCCGCCGAGCGCGCCGAGCAGGAGCGCGCUUGCGUUGCGUCGGAGGAGUGCGCUGCGCGCGCCGGCGUUGCUGCCGAGGCGGCGGGCGCGCUGGCGCAGCUGGCGGAGGACCGCGCCGCGGACAUGGCGCAGGCCGUGUCGAGCGCCGAGGGAGGCAGCCGCGCCGCCCUUGAGGCAACCGAGGCCGCCGAGCGCGCCGAGCAGGAGCGCGCUUGCGUUGCGUCGGAGGAGUGCGCUGCGCGCGCCGGCGUUGCUGCCGAGGCGGCGGGCGCGCUGGCGCAGCUGGCGGAGGACCGCGCCGCGGACAUGGCGCAGGCCGUGUCGAGCGCCGAGGGAGGCAGCCGCGCCGCCCUUGAGGCAACCGAGGCCGCCGAGCGCGCCGAGCAGGAGCGCGCUUGCGUUGCGUCGGAGGAGUGCGCUGCGCGCGCCGGCGUUGCUGCCGAGGCGGCGGGCGCGCUGGCGCAGCUGGCGGAGGACCGCGCCGCGGACAUGGCGCAGGCCGUGUCGAGCGCCGAGGGAGGCAGCCGCGCCGCCCUUGAGGCAACCGAGGCCGCCGAGCGCGCCGAGCAGGAGCGCGCUUGCGUUGCGUCGGAGGAGUGCGCUGCGCGCGCCGGCGUUGCUGCCGAGGCGGCGGGCGCGCUGGCGCAGCUGGCGGAGGACCGCGCCGCGGACAUGGCGCAGGCCGUGUCGAGCGCCGAGGGAGGCAGCCGCGCCGCCCUUGAGGCAACCGAGGCCGCCGAGCGCGCCGAGCAGGAGCGCGCUUGCGUUGCGUCGGAGGAGUGCGCUGCGCGCGCCGGCGUUGCUGCCGAGGCGGCGGGCGCGCUGGCGCAGCUGGCGGAGGACCGCGCCGCGGACAUGGCGCAGGCCGUGUCGAGCGCCGAGGGAGGCAGCCGCGCCGCCCUUGAGGCAACCGAGGCCGCCGAGCGCGCCGAGCAGGAGCGCGCUUGCGUUGCGUCGGAGGAGUGCGCUGCGCGCGCCGGCGUUGCUGCCGAGGCGGCGGGCGCGCUGGCGCAGCUGGCGGAGGACCGCGCCGCGGACAUGGCGCAGGCCGUGUCGAGCGCCGAGGGAGGCAGCCGCGCCGCCCUUGAGGCAACCGAGGCCGCCGAGCGCGCCGAGCAGGGGCGCGCUUGCGUUGCGUCGGAGGAGUGCGCUGCGCGCGCCGGCGUUGCUGCCGAGGCGGCGGGCGCGCUGGCGCAGCUGGCGGAGGACCGCGCCGCGGACAUGGCGCAGGCCGUGUCGAGCGCCGAGGGAGGCAGCCGCGCCGCCCUUGAGGCAACCGAGGCCGCCGAGCGCGCCGAGCAGGAGCGCGCUUGCGUUGCGUCGGAGGAGUGCGCUGCGCGCGCCGGCGUUGCUGCCGAGGCGGCGGGCGCGCUGGCGCAGCUGGCGGAGGACCGCGCCGCGGACAUGGCGCAGGCCGUGUCGAGCGCCGAGGGAGGCAGCCGCGCCGCCCUUGAGGCAACCGAGGCCGCCGAGCGCGCCGAGCAGGAGCGCGCUUGCGUUGCGUCGGAGGAGUGCGCUGCGCGCGCCGGCGUUGCUGCCGAGGCGGCGGGCGCGCUGGCGCAGCUGGCGGAGGACCGCGCCGCGGACAUGGCGCAGGCCGUGUCGAGCGCCGAGGGAGGCAGCCGCGCCGCCCUUGAGGCAACCGAGGCCGCCGAGCGCGCCGAGCAGGAGCGCGCUUGCGUUGCGUCGGAGGAGUGCGCUGCGCGCGCCGGCGUUGCUGCCGAGGCGGCGGGCGCGCUGGCGCAGCUGGCGGAGGACCGCGCCGCGGACAUGGCGCAGGCCGUGUCGAGCGCCGAGGGAGGCAGCCGCGCCGCCCUUGAGGCAACCGAGGCCGCCGAGCGCGCCGAGCGGGCGCGCUUGCGUUGCGUCGGAGGAGUGCGCUGCGCGCGCCGGCGUUGCUGCCGAGGCGGCGGGCGCGCUGGCGCAGCUGGCGGAGGACCGCGCCGCGGACAUGGCGCAGGCCGUGUCGAGCGCCGAGGGAGGCAGCCGCGCCGCCCUUGAGGCAACCGAGGCCGCCGAGCGCGCCGAGCAGGGCGCGCUUGCGUUGCGUCGGAGGAGUGCGCUGCGCGCGCCGGCGUUGCUGCCGAGGCGGC
This 5089-nucleotide unclassified non-coding RNA is filed under the name Leishmania donovani. RNAcentral's name for it is "gene:LdHU3.22.0590(CDS-product:hypothetical_prote in_conserved)". Lineage: Eukaryota; Euglenozoa; Kinetoplastea; Trypanosomatida; Trypanosomatidae. The record is from RNAcentral.